GACAACGUGUCCGAGUGGUUAAGGAGUUAGACUUGAACUUUAAAAUCAGAUAUCUAAUGGCUUCGGCCUCGUAGGUUCGAAUCCUGCCGUUGUCG
Transfer RNA from Fusarium oxysporum f. sp. raphani 54005, 95 nucleotides. It matches the Rfam family "tRNA". Rfam says of the family: Transfer RNA (tRNA) molecules are approximately 80 nucleotides in length. The record is from Rfam. Lineage: Eukaryota; Fungi; Ascomycota; Sordariomycetes; Hypocreales; Nectriaceae.